RNAcentral lists this ribosomal RNA (504 nucleotides) under uncultured bacterium. Its description in RNAcentral is "bacterial SSU rRNA". It matches the Rfam family "Bacterial small subunit ribosomal RNA", at positions 28 to 518 of the family's 1533-position model. The record is from RNAcentral.
GACGAACGCUGGCGGCGUGCCUGACACAUGCAAGUCGGACGGUUCUUGUACCUUCAAGCUUGCUUGUUGGUGCAAGGAUAGUGGCGGACGGGUGAGUAACGCGUGAACAUCUACCCAUUGGAGGGGGACAACCCGUCGAAAGGCGGGCUAAUACCGCGUAAGCCGCGAGGUGAGAGGCUGCCUAUUGGUGGCCGCCGAUGGAUGGGUUCGCGUCCUAUCAGCUGGUUGGUGGGGUAACGGCCUACCAAGGCGAAGACGGGUAGCCGGUCUGAGAGGAUGGCCGGCCACACUGGAACUGAGACACGGUCCAGACUCCUACGGGAGGCAGCAGUGAGGAAUAUUGCGCAAUGGGGGCAACCCUGACGCAGUGACGCCGCGUGAGUGAUGAAGGCUUUCGAGUCGUAAAGCUCUGUUAGGUGGAAAGAAACAUCCCGGCGCUAAUAUCGUCGGGACUUGACGGUACCACCAGAGGAAGCACCGGCUAACUCCGUGCCAGCAGCCGAC